GGUUGAUCCUGCCAGUAGUCAUAUGCUUGUCUCAAAGAUUAAGCCAUGCAUGUCUUAGUGUAAAUAACUCUUAUGAAACUGCGAAUGGCUCAUUAAAUCAGUUAUCAAAUACGUGAUGGUCGCCUACUACAUGGAUAACCGUAGUAAUUCUAGAGCUAAUACAUGCACAAAGGCCCACUCACGUGGGUUGUGAUUAUUAGAUUCAAACCGGCCUCGUUCUGGUGAUUCAUAAUAAUUGGUCGAACCGCAUGCCCUUGUGGUGGCGGUGAUUCAUCCUUAUUUCUGCCCUAUC
RNAcentral lists this ribosomal RNA (292 nucleotides) under uncultured eukaryote. RNAcentral describes it as "partial 18S ribosomal RNA". It matches the Rfam family "Eukaryotic small subunit ribosomal RNA", at positions 6 to 316 of the family's 1831-position model. The record is from RNAcentral.